AUGAUUCUCCUAGGGUGGAACUGCCGCGGGAUGCGUCAGUCCCGGGCAGUUAGAGCACUUCUGGAGGUCCAGAGGUGCUACAAACCGGAUGUGCUCUUUCUGUCAGAAGCACAUCUGUCUGACGCAGGGGCAGAGCGGCUGAUGAGGAGGCUAGGGUUCCAGGAGAGGCUGGUUGACCCGAGUGAUGGGAGAGCGGGAGGUUUGCUGAUGAUGUGGAAAUCU
This 222-nucleotide ribosomal RNA is filed under the name Triticum aestivum (bread wheat). RNAcentral describes it as "partial small subunit ribosomal RNA". The record is from RNAcentral. Lineage: Eukaryota; Viridiplantae; Streptophyta; Magnoliopsida; Poales; Poaceae.